This is a long non-coding RNA of Cynoglossus semilaevis (tongue sole), 515 nucleotides long. RefSeq lists it as uncharacterized. Lineage: Eukaryota; Metazoa; Chordata; Actinopteri; Pleuronectiformes; Cynoglossidae. The record is from RefSeq and is a predicted model, not a curated record. The transcript has 4 exons.
GUGACUUUGACAGUUUCUUUGAAGGUUUUUCCCUCCACGUCUUCAACUGUUGAGUCCUGGUUCCUCAGGUACAAGAUCAAGCCUGAAGAGCAGCAGCAGAAUUUGACUUUAUCAGAUCACAGCUAAGGUGAGGUUUCCCUGUGGUGCGUUCAAUGCCUACCUGUUGGUGUAGACGGCACAUUCAUCAGGCUUCAUGAACGUCUGAUGCCUGUGGAGCCUUCUGGUCUGUGAGAGCAGGUGCAGCCAACAAGCAGGAAACCUGAGCUGGGCUGUUCCAUUACAGCAUCACUACACUCUAUGUAGAUCACCUCUGCAUUAUUGAUGGAUGGCUCAACCAGACACAUGCACACUCACGUGCACGACCACGUCACUCGGCAGAAGAACAACUCUUGGUGAAAAGGAGAUCCUUCGCUAAACACAAACCAGUUGUUCGUCCUCACCUGCAGCAGCACAUCCAUCAAUGGCCUGGCUGUACUUCUCCACAGCAUCUCCAAACUGACCAUGUUUGAAGAGGU